AGUGCUAGUGCUUCAGCCUGUGUCUACUGCUUUGGCGCUCAUCUCGGGAGAAAUAUGAAGAAUAGCAGCUGACAAAGUGUCUGUAAAGAUGGGGCGAGAGCAACACUGAUAAUAAGGGGAGAACAAGAACGUGAGGCCCCAGGGAAGAGUUUCCUUGGAGGAGUCAGUCAUGCUGCAGCUGUAGAGCAGAAGUGAGUACUUGACAGUCAUGCAGAAUUUAAAAUCCAUCUUGGUUUUGAAGUCGUCAGGAUCACUGUCUACAGCAAAGGCAAAAACGUAACACUCCUUGACCUCGGUUGGCAACGCACAGGAGCGUGAAGAAGAGUUUUGGGAAAGUUUUGGUUCCUAUCUGAAUAAAAAAAUAUCACGGCAGAAAUACGGAGCAAUACACAAGCAGGAAAGAAUGAGCGUGAAAUCACCGUGCUGCUAACAUUACUGGGAUUUUUUUCAUUGGCCAAAAUGGCACAAGGAUCUGACGCUGGAAGUAGUGUUAUCAAACAACUGGCAUUCACCUUGGGCUUUCUCUGAAUAGAAUUGAGGCGGUUAUUUACUUCGUCCUGAUAAGACGUUCCAGAUUUUCUAUUAUGUGGGGAUUCUUCAGAUUUUCUCAUUAUGAGAUAGUUACUCCAACUCACGGGGAAAACAAAGACAGAGAAAAUAAUCAGCUUACUGAUAGCCGGAUUGUACCAAAAGAGUUUGGGGAGUACUGGCUACUAUAACAAGUCCCUAUCUUGUUCACCCCUAUUACGGGCCUGUCACUCAGCCGUUAGCGAACGACUGCACUGAAAUCUGCAAGUGGAGUUUGACUAAACAUUUGCAGGCUCAGGUAGACGCAUCUUUGGAAAGAUUGUGUGAACCUAUUAUUCAUGUUGCGUAUUAUCCACAAUGCUCUAUAGUGUAAUACCAGGGAUGCAAUUACAGUGUUUUGAAAGCCAGACAGUAAAUUCAGGUAGACUUCAACAAUUUCUUUCAUUUUACACAGGUCUCCAGUUAACUUUAAGGAGCAACUCAGAGGAACUAGGUGAAGUGGGCAAGUGCCCUGGAGAACGCUGGCUUAGUUGGAAUUUUGAUUGUGUAAAUGUGGCCCUUUAGUAUUUGCUACCACAUGGCUGAUUUGUUAAUACUUUAAGCAUGCACAUGUACAUUUAAAGUCACAUACUGCUAAGGAAAUAUCAACCUGACCCUAGGCACAUAGUCUUUUGGCUGUCUUCAGGAUCAGAACACUGUUUUGUGGUAGGAUUAUUUUAGAAAUGAAGCUUGGUCAGAAACAUAAGAUGGAAGUUUGCAAAAUUGGCAGUGUGAUUUCCUUGGCCAGUGCAACAACUUUCAUAACCAUUUUACCUUUUAGAAAGUAAAUGCUGACAUCAAACUUAAGCACAGUCCAAAUGGCUAUAUUUAAUGGCCUGAUUAUAUGGACAUAUCUGACUCUUAGUAAUACUGUGAAAGAAAUGCAUUGUAGAUAUUGAUUGCUAGUGUAAUUAUGAGUCAUUUCCUCUGAUAUAAUGCUUGUGCCAAUGAAGGUUAGGAUGCCCAAGGGGCUGUUUUAGGCUAAAAGAAAUGGAAAGGGAGUGUGCCCUGUAGAAUGACAAUGACUUUCAUUCAGAAAACAUCUUUACAGGAUAGCUUGGCUUUGAGAAGAAAAGGAUUUACAUCCCUUCUAAUAUGGAACUGGCAUAAUAAGAAACAAAACUAAAAAUGGCAAAAAAGAGCAAGAUACCAUACUUCCAAAGGCUUUGUAAUAUUAAAUAUACUUGAAAAAACAAAUCACGGUUUAGAUUUAACUGUUGCAUGAAAUAUGACAUUUAAUAGCCUUUAAUACAGUUUGACCUGGUACCAUCAGGACAGCUAGUAUGUUCUGUGCUGCUGCUCGCCCUCAGGAAUUACUUUUCACAGAUAAAUAUCAUGUCAUGUGGACCCUGUUUUCUUAUAUGGAGUUUCACACAUCUGUUCUAAUUGUUCUAUCAAUGAAAAUAAAUCUUUUGACUUGGUGCAUAAGAAAAUAAAGGAUGAUGGA
Molecule: long non-coding RNA, 2014 nt
Organism: Gymnogyps californianus (California condor)
Lineage: Eukaryota; Metazoa; Chordata; Aves; Accipitriformes; Cathartidae
Exons: 3
Source: RefSeq, a predicted model, not a curated record